Molecule: ribosomal RNA, 510 nt
Filed under: Peritropis sulawesica
Lineage: Eukaryota; Metazoa; Arthropoda; Insecta; Hemiptera; Miridae
Description: partial 16S ribosomal RNA
Rfam family: Bacterial large subunit ribosomal RNA
Source: RNAcentral
AGUCUUUUGGGUUUUAUAUAAGAUGGGGCCUGCUCAAUGAUAUAUUAUUAAAUGGCUGCAGUAUUUUGACUGUACAAAGGUAGCAUAAUUAUUUGUCUUUUAAUUGGGGACUGGUAUGAAUGGUUGGAUGAAAUAUAAACUUUUUUAUUUUUUUUUAUGAAUUUGAUUUUUUAGUCAGAAAGCUAAAAUUUGUUUAAGGGACGAGAAGACCCUAUAGAACUUUAUUAAUAUAUAUUUAAAUAGGGUAUAUUUGAUAAUUUUUAUUUAAAUAUAUAUUAAUUUUGUUGGGGUGAUUGAAAAAAAUUAUUAACUUUUUCUUAUUAUAUUCAUUUAUAUAUGAUUUUUUGAUCCAAAUGAGUUUGAUUAUAAGAUUAAGUUACCUUAGGGAUAACAGCGUUAUUUUUUUUAAGAGUUCUUAUCGAAAAAAGAGUUUGCGACCUCNAUGUUGGAUUAAAAUUGGUUAUGGGUGGAGAGAUUUAUUAACUGAGUCUGUUCGACUUUUAAAUUUUU